Molecule: ribosomal RNA, 692 nt
Filed under: uncultured bacterium
Lineage: Bacteria
Description: bacterial SSU rRNA
Rfam family: Bacterial small subunit ribosomal RNA
Source: RNAcentral
ACUGGUGAGUAACGUGUAAAGAACUUGCCUCUUAGACUGGGAUAACAAGUGGAAACGCUUGAUAAUACUAGAUAUUAUGAUACUAAGGCAUCUUGGUAACAUGAAAGGAUAAGAUUGCUAAGAGAGAGCUUUGCAUCCUAUUAGCUAGUUGGUGGGGUAAAGGCCUACCAAGGCGAUGAUAGGUAGCCGGCCCGAGAGGGUGAACGGCCACAAGGGGACUGAGAUACGGCCCUUACUCCUACGGGAGGCAGCAGUGGGGAAUAUUGGACAAUGGAGGUAACUCUGAUCCAGCAAUUCUGUGUGCACGAAGAAGGUUUUCGGAUUGUAAAGUGCUUUCAGUAGGGAAGAAGAAAGUGACGGUACCUACAGAAGAAGCGACGGCUAAAUACGUGCCAGCAGCCGCGGUAAUACGUAUGUCGCAAGCGUUAUCCGGAAUUAUUGGGCUUAAAGGGCAUCUAGGCGGUUUUUCAAGUCAGGGGUGAAAACUUAUGGCUCAACUAUAAGCUUGCCUUUGAAACUGAAAGACUAGAGUACUGGAAAGGUGGGUGGAACUACACGAGUAGAGGUGAAAUUCGUAGAUAUGUGUAGGAAUGCCGAUGAUGAAGAUAACUCACUGGACAGAAACUGACGCUGAAGUGCGAAAGCUAGGGGAGCAAACAGGAUUAGAUACCCUGGUAGUCCUAGCUGUAAAC